RNAcentral lists this ribosomal RNA (403 nucleotides) under uncultured bacterium. RNAcentral describes it as "partial 16S ribosomal RNA". It matches the Rfam family "Bacterial small subunit ribosomal RNA", at positions 30 to 526 of the family's 1533-position model. The record is from RNAcentral.
AUUGAACGCUGGCGGCAGGCCUAACACAUGCAAGUCGAGCGAGCGGCGGACGGGUGAGUAAUGUAUGGGGACUGCCCGAUAGAGGGGGAUAACUACUGGAAACGGUGGCUAAUACCGCAUACUAUCGGAUAACCCAUAUGGGAUUAGCUAGUAGGUGGGGUAAAGGCGCCCCUAGGCGACGAUCUCUAGCUGGUCUGAGUGGAUUAUGAGCAACACGUGGACUGAGACACGGCCUAGACUCCGACGGAUGCAGCAGGGGGUAAUAUUGCACAAUGGGCGCAAGCCUGAUGCAGCCAUGCCGCGUGUAUGAAGAAGGCCUUAGGGUUGUAAAGUACUUUCAUCGGGGAGGCGUUACCCGCAGAAGAAGCACCGGCUAACUCCGUGCCAGCAGCCGCGGUAAUAC